GCCAGGCAUGGUGGUGCAUACCUGUAAUCCCAGUGACUCAGGAGGCUGAGGCAGGAAGAUGGCAAGUUCAAGGCCAGCCUCAG
Molecule: small RNA, 83 nt
Filed under: Marmota monax (woodchuck)
Lineage: Eukaryota; Metazoa; Chordata; Mammalia; Rodentia; Sciuridae
Source: RNAcentral